UACGUAGGUGGCAAGCGUUGUCCGGAUUUAUUGGGCGUAAAGCGAGCGCAGGCGGUUCCUUAAGUCUGAUGUGAAAGCCCACGGCUCAACCGUGGAAGGUCAUUGGAAACUGGGGAACUUGAGUGCAGAAGAGGAGAGUGGAAUUCCAUGUGUAGCGGUGAAAUGCGUAGAUAUAUGGAGGAACACCAGUGGCGAAGGCGACUCUCUGGUCUGUAACUGACGCUGAGGCUCGAAAGCGUGGGGAGCAAAC
This 250-nucleotide ribosomal RNA is filed under the name uncultured bacterium. RNAcentral's name for it is "partial 16S ribosomal RNA". It matches the Rfam family "Bacterial small subunit ribosomal RNA", at positions 524 to 773 of the family's 1533-position model. RNAcentral also lists the same sequence under 1 other name. The record is from RNAcentral.